Long non-coding RNA from Gavialis gangeticus (Gharial), 104 nucleotides. RefSeq lists it as uncharacterized. The record is from RefSeq and is a predicted model, not a curated record. The transcript is spliced from 3 exons. Lineage: Eukaryota; Metazoa; Chordata; Crocodylia; Gavialidae.
AUUUUUGUUGCCCUCCACUGGACUCUCUCCAAUUUGUCCAUGUCCUUUCUAUAGUGGGGAUCCCAAAACUAGACACGGUACUCCAGAUGUGGCCCCUCCAGUGC